AUUGAACGCAGGCGGAAUGCUUUACACAUGCAAGUCGAACGGCAGCACGGGGGCAACCCUGGUGGCGAGUGGCGAACGGGUGAGUAAUACAUCGGAACGUGCCCAGUCGUGGGGGAUAACGUAGCGAAAGUUACGCUAAUAGCGCAUACGAUCUACGGAUGAAAGCGGGGGACCGUAAGGCCUCGCGCGAUUGGAGCGGCCGAUGUCAGAUUAGGUAGUUGGUGAGGUAAAGGCUCACAAAGCCGACGAUCUGUAGCUGGUCUGAGAGGACGCCCCGCCACACUGGGACUGAGACACGGCCCAGACUCCUACGGGAGGCAGCAGUGGGGAAUUUUGGACAAUGGGCGCAAGCCUGAUCCAGCCAUUCCGCGUGCAGGACGAAGGCCUUCGGGUUGUAAACUGCUUCUGUACGGAACGAAAAGGCUCUGGUUAAUACCUGGGGCUCAUGACGGUACCGUAAGAAUAAGCACCGGCUAACUACGUGCCAGCAGCCGCGGUAA
This 500-nucleotide ribosomal RNA is filed under the name uncultured bacterium. Its description in RNAcentral is "partial 16S ribosomal RNA". It matches the Rfam family "Bacterial small subunit ribosomal RNA", at positions 29 to 523 of the family's 1533-position model. The record is from RNAcentral.